RNAcentral lists this ribosomal RNA (1044 nucleotides) under Penicillium sp. Its description in RNAcentral is "SSU rRNA". It matches the Rfam family "Eukaryotic small subunit ribosomal RNA", at positions 53 to 1108 of the family's 1831-position model. Lineage: Eukaryota; Fungi; Ascomycota; Eurotiomycetes; Eurotiales; Aspergillaceae. The record is from RNAcentral.
GCAUGUCUAGUAUAAGCAACUUGUACUGUGAAACUGCGAAUGGCUCAUUAAAUCAGUUAUCGUUUAUUUGAUAGUACCUUACUACAUGGAUACCUGUGGUAAUUCUAGAGCUAAUACAUGCUAAAAACCCCGACUCACGAAGGGGUGUAUUUAUUAGAUAAAAAACCAACGCCCUUCGGGGCUCCUUGGUGAAUCAUAAUAACUUAACGAAUCGCAUGGCCUUGCGCCGGCGAUGGUUCAUUCAAAUUUCUGCCCUAUCAACUUUCGAUGGUAGGAUAGUGGCCUACCAUGGUGGCAACGGGUAACGGGGAAUUAGGGUUCGAUUCCGGAGAGGGAGCCUGAGAAACGGCUACCACAUCCAAGGAAGGCAGCAGGCGCGCAAAUUACCCAAUCCCGAUACGGGGAGGUAGUGACAAUAAAUACUGAUACGGGGCUCUUUUGGGUCUCGUAAUUGGAAUGAGAACAAUUUAAAUCCCUUAACGAGGAACAAUUGGAGGGCAAGUCUGGUGCCAGCAGCCGCGGUAAUUCCAGCUCCAAUAGCGUAUAUUAAAGUUGUUGCAGUUAAAAAGCUCGUAGUUGAACCUUGGGUCUGGCUGGCCGGUCCGCCUCACCGCGAGUACUGGUCCGGCUGGACCUUUCCUUCUGGGGAACCUCAUGGCCUUCACUGGCUGUGGGGGGAACCAGGACUUUUACUGUGAAAAAAUUAGAGUGUUCAAAGCAGGCCUUUGCUCGAAUACAUUAGCAUGGAAUAAUAGAAUAGGACGUGCGGUUCUAUUUUGUUGGUUUCUAGGACCGCCGUAAUGAUUAAUAGGGAUAGUCGGGGGCGUCAGUAUUCAGCUGUCAGAGGUGAAAUUCUUGGAUUUGCUGAAGACUAACUACUGCGAAAGCAUUCGCCAAGGAUGUUUUCAUUAAUCAGGGAACGAAAGUUAUGGGAUCGAAGACGAUCAGAUACCGUCGUAGUCUUAACCAUAAACUAUGCCGACUAGGGAUCGGACGGGAUUCUAUAAUGACCCGUUCGGCACCUUACGAGAAAUCAAAGUUUUU